Molecule: ribosomal RNA, 611 nt
Filed under: Trichoderma erinaceum
Lineage: Eukaryota; Fungi; Ascomycota; Sordariomycetes; Hypocreales; Hypocreaceae
Description: eukaryotic LSU rRNA
Rfam family: 5.8S ribosomal RNA (bases 206-359)
Source: RNAcentral
GUUGACGCGGAGGGUCAUUACCGAGUUUACAACUCCCAAACCCAAUGUGAACCAUACCAAACUGUUGCCUCGGCGGGGUCACGCCCCGGGUGCGUCGCAGCCCCGGAACCAGGCGCCCGCCGGAGGGACCAACCAAACUCUUUACUGUAGUCCCCUCGCGGACGUUAUUUCUUACAGCUCUGAGCAAAAAUUCAAAAUGAAUCAAAACUUUCAACAACGGAUCUCUUGGUUCUGGCAUCGAUGAAGAACGCAGCGAAAUGCGAUAAGUAAUGUGAAUUGCAGAAUUCAGUGAAUCAUCGAAUCUUUGAACGCACAUUGCGCCCGCCAGUAUUCUGGCGGGCAUGCCUGUCCGAGCGUCAUUUCAACCCUCGAACCCCUCCGGGGGGUCGGCGUUGGGGAUCGGGAACCCCUCAGACGGGAUCCCGGCCCCGAAAUACAGUGGCGGUCUCGCCGCAGCCUCUCCUGCGCAGUAGUUUGCACAACUCGCACCGGGAGCGCGGCGCGUCCACGUCCGUAAAACACCCAACUUCUGAAAUGUUGACCUCGGAUCAGGUAGGAAUACCCGCUGAACUUAAGCAUAUCAUAAAAGCGGGAGGAAACAAAAAAAAGAG